GGGAGGAUGGCCGAGUGGUUUAAGGCGGCAGAUUUAAGUCCUACACCUCACACCAGACUAAAGACCUAUUCUCUGCUUUCCGUUGGAAGCGUGGGUUCGAACCCCACUCCUCUCA
This 115-nucleotide transfer RNA is filed under the name Cladophialophora yegresii CBS 114405. It matches the Rfam family "tRNA". From Rfam's summary of the family: Transfer RNA (tRNA) molecules are approximately 80 nucleotides in length. Their secondary structure includes four short double-helical elements and three loops (D, anti-codon, and T loops). Further hydrogen bonds mediate the characteristic L-shaped molecular structure. tRNAs have two regions of fundamental functional importance: the anti-codon, which is responsible for specific mRNA codon recognition, and the 3' end, to which the tRNAs corresponding amino acid is attached (by aminoacyl-tRNA synthetases). tRNAs cope with the degeneracy of the genetic code in two manners: having more than one tRNA (with a specific anti-codon) for a particular amino acid; and 'wobble' base-pairing, i.e. permitting non-standard base-pairing at the 3rd anti-codon position. The record is from Rfam by way of RNAcentral. Lineage: Eukaryota; Fungi; Ascomycota; Eurotiomycetes; Chaetothyriales; Herpotrichiellaceae.